AUGGCGCCCCCCGCCGUUCCCGUCCGGCCCUCCGCCCUGGCGGGCUCGCCGCGCUCCGGCCACCCCGACUGGGUCUUACUCAGCAAGACGGGACGCAUCUCCGACGACCGGCACGAAACCACCGCCGGGUGCCGCACGGCGGAGGGCCAGGCCGUCGAGGUGUCCUUCUGCCUCGCCGACCCGCCGGCCGUCUCCCACUUCUCCGUCCACUGCCCCGGCCUCGAGGGCGACGACUACUCCGACACCCCGCCCUUGCUCAUCUGCGCCGAGGGGGCCUUCGUGCUCUUCUCCGUCACCCUCAACGUCCCCGAGUGGGGCUCCGUCCACCACUUCGUCUACUCCGCCCGCGGCCCGUCCGGCAACCGCCCGUCGCUGCACCUGCUCCCGGAGCCGGACCCUGAGGUGCCAGCCUUCCAGUCCCAGCAGUUCGGCAUCCUGCCCUGCGGCGGCGGCCACUUCGCCGUGGCUUUCCUCGAUCGCAACUGGAUUGACCAUCGUGACUGCUGGGAGUAUCGCGCCUACGUCUUCUCCUCCACCACGCGGGCAUGGAGCAGAACCAAGCCGUCCAUGCCGCGCUUGUCCGAGUAUGACAAAGAGUUGCUCGAUAGGCAUUACAGCUGCAAGCAGAUCACUGUCGGAGAAAGCUCGCUGGGCUGGGUUGAUCUCUUGUGUGGCAUUGUCCUCCUCUGCAACCUCUUCGACAAGCGUCCCGUCAUCAAGUACAUCCCGUUGCCCGCGUCCAGGGUUCCCCUCGCCGACGAGGACGGUGUCGCGGACAUCGCCGCGGAACAUCUAUGCGAUGUCUCAUCCUGCGGCGAUCUCAUCAAGUUUGUCCAGAUAGAUUUCGAUGAACCUGACUACGGAAGCAGUGGCAUCGCUUGGAAAGCCACCACAUGGAACAGGAAGCUCUCUUGGGAUGAUUGGCGCAACCGCCGCACGGUUGAUGUUGCUGAAAUCUCGGUCGACACGAGUUAUUCUGCUUUGUUGCCUGAGCUGCUGGAUGAUGAGAACAAACAACUGGAGCUGAAGAAUCUUAUUUUCAUUAACCCCACCCUGAGCAUCCAAGAUGACCAUCUUCUCUACAUAAGGGCCAUGGUAAAGGCUCAAGAUGACACGACAUGGAUUGUCGCACUUGACAUGAAACAUGCCUCUCUCAGUGCGCUAGUCCCAGUGUCCACCCAACCCUUCUGUGGUGUUACCAUGCGCCUUCCCCAAGUACUACCUCGACAACAUGCCAGCAGCAGAGGCAGACGUGGUCAAACCAGUGGUCAGGCAACUAUACAGUACAAAUAA
This 1293-nucleotide ribosomal RNA is filed under the name Triticum aestivum (bread wheat). Its description in RNAcentral is "partial small subunit ribosomal RNA". Lineage: Eukaryota; Viridiplantae; Streptophyta; Magnoliopsida; Poales; Poaceae. The record is from RNAcentral.